RNAcentral lists this ribosomal RNA (333 nucleotides) under uncultured eukaryote. RNAcentral's name for it is "partial 18S ribosomal RNA". It matches the Rfam family "Eukaryotic small subunit ribosomal RNA", at positions 1470 to 1796 of the family's 1831-position model. The record is from RNAcentral.
CCCUUAGAUGUUCUGGGCUGCACGCGCGCUACACUGAUGCGCUCAACGAGUUUACGACCUUGCCCGGAAGGGUUGGGUAAUCUUUUUAAAACGCAUCGUGAUGGGGAUAGAUUAUUGCAAUUAUUAAUCUUUAACGAGGAAUUCCUAGUAAGCGCGAGUCAUCAGCUCGCGUUGAUUACGUCCCUGCCCUUUGUACACACCGCCCGUCGCUACUACCGAUUGAACGGUUUAGUGAGGGCCUCGGAUUGGUCUCGGCCCGCUCUUUACCGGGCGGCGCCGUUGGUCGAGAAGACGCUCGAACUUGAUCGUUUAGAGGAAGUAAAAGUCGUAACA